This 497-nucleotide ribosomal RNA is filed under the name uncultured bacterium. Its description in RNAcentral is "partial 16S ribosomal RNA". It matches the Rfam family "Bacterial small subunit ribosomal RNA", at positions 28 to 507 of the family's 1533-position model. The record is from RNAcentral.
GAUGAACGCUGGCGGCGUGCCUAAUACAUGCAAGUCGAGCGAACAGACGAGGCGCUUGCUCCUCUUACGUUAGCGGCGGACGGGUGACUAACAUGUCGCUAACCUACCUUUAAGACUGCGAUAACUUCGGGCUCCCGUAGCUGAUACCGUAUAAUAUAUUCAACCGCAGGGUUCAAUAGUGAAAGCCGUUUUUGCUGUUACUUAUAGAUGUAUCCGCGCCGCAUUAGCUAUGUGGUAAGGUAACGGCUUUCCAAGGCAACGAUGCGUAGCCGACCUGAGAAUAUGAUCCGCCACACUGGGACGGAGACGCGGUACUGACUCCGACGCGCGGCACAGGUACGGAAUCGACCGCAAUGUGCGGAAGAUUGACGGAUCAGCGCCAGGUGAGCGAUGAAAGGCUUCGGAUCGUAGAACUCUGUUACUAGGGAAGAACACAUUUGUAAGUAACUAUGCACGUCUUGACGGUACCUAAACAAAAAGCCCCGGCUAACUACGUG